Molecule: long non-coding RNA, 1018 nt
Organism: Drosophila arizonae
Lineage: Eukaryota; Metazoa; Arthropoda; Insecta; Diptera; Drosophilidae
Source: RefSeq, a predicted model, not a curated record
UGUUUGUAUACAUGUACAUAUAUUUAGUACGAUUCAGUUUUCAGUUACUGCAUUACGAGUAAUCUUAAUUAUCUUAAAUACAUUAAAAAAAUACAUAAAAUAUUUGUUUUGUUUAAUUCUUUAAAUUGUAUAUAAAUAAGCUAACGGUAUAUUUAUAUUUUUGUUUUUAUUGUGUACAUAUGUAUUUCUCUAUAUACUUAUAUACGUAUGCACUCUCAGAUAUCGAAAUGCGAAACGACUUCGACUUUUCGACAGUUCGGCUCACUUAGUUGUUGUUGUUGUUGCUGCUGCUGUUGGGUUGUUACUGUAACGGUUUCUGGCUCUGCGGUUCCCUUUUAGGCACAUUUUCUAAUGAUUCUGCUCAAGCUAACAAGUUUUGAAAUUAAAUGAAAAAGUGUGGUGGCAACGCCACGUUGCCGGGCUGGCAGCACCUCGCGGCAAGGCCACUCGAUAAAUUAAUAAAGUGCUUAAUAGAUUUAUCGAUCAAUCACACCAAUCUGUCGCGCAUCGCAUAUCAAGCUGGCAACUCUCCCGCCAUUCCCAUUUAACGCGAUCAUUUGACAAGCGCAUCAAACUGUUAACUUAACGACAAAAACAAUAGUAAACGCGCCUAACGCCUCAAUUGCUAAUCAAUCUGUCAUUUCGCUCUGCUAAUAGGGGACUGCGUGUGUGUGUGUGUGUACAGGUGCUAGGUAGAUGGGGAUCAAUUGGGCACUUGACUAAAUAUUUAAAUCUAUGCUAGAUUUUAGCCGCUCACUUAGUAAAUAAAAUGCAAAGAAUAAAAUUGAAUCGUAUGCGCCCAAUGCGUGCACGUACCAGGGCUGCCAAAGCUGAGUUUUCAUUUGCUUCUUUAAGUCGUGUGUCAGUAUGUGUAUUUGUUGUGUGUUCUGUGUAUGUGUUUGUGUGGGAUUUUUCUUGUAACGGCCGCUGUAGUGCUGCACUUUUAGAUGCGCUUUGGAAUCGUAUCGAUGGCAUUAUUUUCAGGCUCUUCGUCCUUUGGUGGCUGACCGCGCUGCUG